Molecule: ribosomal RNA, 301 nt
Filed under: uncultured bacterium
Lineage: Bacteria
Description: partial 16S ribosomal RNA
Rfam family: Bacterial small subunit ribosomal RNA
Source: RNAcentral
CAGUCGCCGCGGUAAUACGUAGGUCCCGAGCGUUGUCCGGAUUUAUUGGGCGUAAAGCGAGCGCAGGCGGUUAGAUAAGUCUGAAGUUAAAGGCUGUGGCUUAACCAUAGUACGCUUUGGAAACCGUUUAACUUGAGUGCAAGAGGGGAGAGUGGAAUUCCAUGUGUAGCGGUGAAAUGCGUAGAUAUAUGGAGGGACACCGGUGGCGAGAGCGGCUCUCUGGCUUGUAACUGACGCUGAGGCUCGAAAGCGUGGGGAGCAAACAGGAUUAGAGACCCCCGUAGUCCCUGUCUCUUAUACA